This is a long non-coding RNA of Lepisosteus oculatus (spotted gar), 396 nucleotides long. RefSeq lists it as uncharacterized. NCBI's taxonomy places the organism in Eukaryota, Metazoa, Chordata, Actinopteri, Semionotiformes, Lepisosteidae. The record is from RefSeq and is a predicted model, not a curated record.
GCUGCCUUCUUUUAAGUUGAACGCGCACUGCUGUUGAUUCACUCAGUUUCCUUUAAGUUUAGAUCACUACAUUUACCACUCAUAAAAGAUGCAACUAUAGACAAGACAGAGGACAAAGUGGAAAUCCCAGUGUUCCUAGAUCUCAAGUGUGCGGCAGAAAAAGAGUUACACCCGCCAGGAUCUAGAAGAAAGAGCAAGGCCAUGUCUGUCCCUGUCUGACGAGUUCCAGGUAUCCCCCCCUCCCAGUUAUAACAAUCAUAUUUUGCUCAUUACAAACAGCUGUGUUCCCACUUACAGCAGUAGAAGUGUGGGCAUUCAUCUGGAGUACAUUUAAAUACCAAUUAAAUCAAAUAGCUCUUUUAUAUCAAUGGCUUAAAAAAGAGCUGGCACCAACUA